CAUUUUAGUUUGCUUGCAAACUGAAGAUGGCGACCGGCGCACGGGUGAGUAACACGUAUCCAACCUGCCGAUAACUCCGGAAUAGCCUUUCGAAAGAAAGAUUAAUACCGGAUAGCAUACGAAUAUCGCAUGAUAUUUUUAUUAAAGAAUUUCGGUUAUCGAUGGGGAUGCGUUCCAUUAGUUUGUUGGCGGGGUAACGGCCCACCAAGACUACGAUGGAUAGGGGUUCUGAGAGGAAGGUCCCCCACAUUGGAACUGAGACACGGUCCAAACUCCUACGGGAGGCAGCAGUGAGGAAUAUUGGUCAAUGGGCGAGAGCCUGAACCAGCCAAGUAGCGUGAAGGAUGAAGGCUCUAUGGGUCGUAAACUUCUUUUAUAUGGGAAUAAAGUUUUCCACGUGUGGAAUUUUGUAUGUACCAUAUGAAUAAGGAUCGGCUAACUCCGUGCCAGCAGCCGCGGUAAUACGGAGGAUCCGAGCGUUAUCCGGAUUUAUUGGGUUUAAAGGGAGCGUAGGUGGAUUGUUAAGUCAGUUGUGAAAGUUUGCGGCUCAACCGUAAAAUUGCAGUUGAAACUGGCAGUCUUGAGUACAGUAGUGGUGGGCGGAAUUCGUGGUGUAGCGGUGAAAUGCUUAGAUAUCACGAAGAACUCCGAUUGCGAAG
Molecule: ribosomal RNA, 659 nt
Filed under: uncultured Bacteroidales bacterium
Lineage: Bacteria; Pseudomonadati; Bacteroidota; Bacteroidia; Bacteroidales
Description: bacterial SSU rRNA
Rfam family: Bacterial small subunit ribosomal RNA
Source: RNAcentral